Molecule: ribosomal RNA, 2352 nt
Filed under: Triticum aestivum (bread wheat)
Lineage: Eukaryota; Viridiplantae; Streptophyta; Magnoliopsida; Poales; Poaceae
Description: partial small subunit ribosomal RNA
Source: RNAcentral
AUGUCAUCUUUGUGCUCGGGUUCUUCUCCACUUCCCUUUUCUUCGUUGGUUCGUGCCACGGCAAGUGAGGGCGAGCUAGAGAGACGGAGCUACGGCAACAACAAUUGGUAUCGGAGCAUCGGGUUCGGAGGAGCUCGCCGGCGAUGGCGCUCGUCCCGUGCGGCGGAGGAGCACGGUGAUGCCGGGCGUGCGGAGAGCGCGGCGGCUGCGGCGGACCUGCGCGGUGACACAGAGGCUGCGGUGGCGCGGCGCAGCUCGGCGGACGGAAGGCCAAGCUCCGGGACACGCCGGAUCGGCCGCGUUGGUCGCGUCGGAGCGCGAUCAUGGCGCGGGCUGGUGGCGUGCGGAGCGUGGCAGAACAAGCCGCGGCGACGGGCUCACCGCGUCGGGCGCGUGUAUGGGCGCGCCAGACGUGGCGGGCACGUCGGGACCGCGGGUGCGAACCACGUCGAGGCGCUGGACCUGAUGCGCAGAUCGCGUACGUGCGCGGCGGGAGCGCGGGCCGGGAGCGCGAGGACGUGGGGUGUGCGCGGCGAAGGGCACGGUGGCACGGUGGCAGGCGUGGCAGCGACGUCAGGGCGGUGGCAACUACAACGACGACGACGUCGACGGCGCGGCGGAGCGCGCGCUGCGGACGGACGGCGGCAUCGAGGACAUCGGUCUCCUAUGAGUUUGUGGCUUAGGGGGCGAGAUGAGUGGAGGACCAAGUCCAGCAGCAGGCCGGCCGCGUCGAUCGCAUUGGAGCGGGUCGUGUGCGCGAGCUGGGGCGUGCUGGACAUGAACGUCGUGGCCAGUGGGUUCAGCUCGAGUACGUGCUCGAGGGAAAAGACGCCGUACGCGCGGCGGGUGGAGUUCGGGCUCCAGGAAAAACACCACCAUGUCAUCUUUGUGCUCGGGGGCUGGGGCGACAGGAUGAGGCGGAGCCUCUCCCGCACGCUGCGGGAGGACUCGCGUGGCCAUGAGCGCAACCAGCGCGGCGGCGGGCGUGAUGAUGGGCAUCGGCGUCAUGUGGAGACCGCCCCAACUCUGCUGCUGCGCGGCUCCGGCUCCGCCAGUGCUGCGCCGGCUCGUGCGGCUGAGCACCUGCCUGUGCUCUCUUCCACUGCUGCUGUUCGUGGCCGCAGCCCUGUCAGGCAGAGCUCCCCCUGGGCUGCCCGACGCCGCUCCCAGGAUGCCCUCACCCCACCUGCCUCGCCACCUACGUCGCCUACUUCGGUCCUGCCAGAUGGGGCGCGCUCCAAGCGUGGCACGGCUGCCGCGCCAGCUCCCGGGUCUGCUGCGUGCCCUGACCUCAUCGACAUGUGCUCCCCGUCGCACCGUCACGAGGCACUGGUCCUCGCCCAGCUCGAGGGGCUGUUUGUGCAGGCUCCUGCGGCGCUCCUGCCUCCCCCUGUGUCGCCCCCUUGUGUGCCUGUGACUGCGCGCCGCAAGACGCUGGCGGGUGUGGCCAUCAGCUCAAAGGGAGGUCUCUCCCUGAGGCGCACGUCUGUCCGUCGCCCAACCAAGGUGCCUGCGGCAAGGCAAGCUGAGGCAUGUAUCUGUCGCAGACUGGGGAUCAUAGAAGAUGGAGAGGAUAUAACUGAGAAGGCAAUUGAUCAAUUUGCGGCCAAGUUCAAAAACCAGCUGCCUGUUGAUGUCAUCGGAGCCAUGCGUGCUUUCUUCAGGCUAGAUGAUGUCCAGUACAAUGCUGCUGAGGAUGAGCUACUCCAGCAUGGGGGCGAGGAGGCUCUGGACCACGAUGAAGUUGGAAUGUUCGGGGCCUCAACUGCCCGGAUCGUCACGCCACUGUUAGCGAAACUGUUGCGUUAUCGUCCUGCCAGAUUGUUUGUUUGCAAGAAACCAAACUUGAUGCCGUCGACAAGUUCACAGCUCUGCUACUUGGGGGCAACCGGCUGCGUGGCCAUGCUCAGAAGCCAGCCGAUGGCACCCGUGGUGGGAUCCUCCUGCUGUGGGACGACCAUCUGGGAUGUCCAGUUCGGCUCCCACAUCCUUCAUGCUUUGUCCUCCUCGUUAUCCGACCAUUGCCCCCUACUGCUGGCGGAUGCAGUCGGGCCGAUCAGGCCGAAGACUUUCCAAUUCGAGAACUUUUGGGCCUCCCUCCCGAGAUUCAAUGAAAUUGUCUCGGGGGCUUGGGAGGAGCAUUCGGAGCACUCUGAGCCUUUCCAGGUGCUGCACCACAAGCUAAAAAAAACAAGCGUCCGCCUCAGUGCUUGGAGCCGCAGACUGCUCUCCAACGCCAAGGUUCAGCACCACGCCGCCCUUUGGGUUAUUCUCCACCUUGACAUUGCUCAGGAGAGCAGGCCCUUAUCCCAGGAUGAAUGUGACCUCAGGAAGCGGCUCAAAAGGAGGUGA